GCGCUCGUAGCUCAGCUGGAUAGAGUACCUGGCUACGAACCAGGCGGUCAGAGGUUCGAAUCCCUCCUUCACCGCC
This 76-nucleotide transfer RNA is filed under the name Vibrio cholerae. RNAcentral describes it as "tRNA-Arg(acg)". The stretch from base 7 to 67 matches the Rfam family "tRNA", at positions 7 to 64 of the family's 71-position model. From Rfam's summary of the family: Transfer RNA (tRNA) molecules are approximately 80 nucleotides in length. Their secondary structure includes four short double-helical elements and three loops (D, anti-codon, and T loops). The record is from RNAcentral. Lineage: Bacteria; Pseudomonadati; Pseudomonadota; Gammaproteobacteria; Vibrionales; Vibrionaceae.